CCUGUGUGGGCAUCAGUCCCUGGCAGCAGCAGCCCCAGAAUAUUACCUUUUUGCUUUUAUGCUCGUGUUUCUACUUUAUCUAUCACCAUCCUUAUGGUUGUUUUGGAGUGUGUGACCUUCCAGCGAUCUGUCCUACCAAGGACAACAGCGGCCCUAAGACUUUUGCCGGGAUGGCCAAGAAACUGGGAGGCUGAAGAGAGCUCGAAGUAUGGAGCAUCCCUGCCCUCAGCUGGUAAAUUUCUUGACGUGAAUGAACAGAACUCCUACGUACUGUUUAGGAGAACACUGGCUUCUUGUUGACCUUGGUGAUGCUGGGAGUUACUGCUGCAAUAAAGUUUGCCAAUGUGAUCAAGUUUGCCAAAGGAUCACGUGAUGUUAACUUUCCUCCCUCUAAUUACUAGGGAAAUUGAACAGCUUUUCAGAUCUUCAUUGGUCAUUUAUAUUUUUUAAUGGUAUUUUCAAUUGACAAUAAUUGUUUAUAUUUAUGGGGUACAAUGUGAUGUUUUGAUACAUGUGUAAAUUGCAGAAUGAGUAAAUCAAGCUAAUUAACAUAUCCAUAACUUCAUCUGUGUAUUUUUGUGGGCAUAGUGAGAACACUGAAAAUUUACUCUUAGCAAUUUUGAAAUAUAUAAUACAUUCCGAACUAUGGUCACCCACCAUGCUGUGCCACAGAUCUCAGAAACUUAUUCUCCUGUCUAACCCAAACAUUGUACUCUGUGACCUACAUUGCCCCUUUGCCUCUCCUCCUUAGGUUUAAAUUUGGCCUCUACCAGUUGCUAGUUCUGUCAUUUGGGGUGAGUUGCUUUAAACCCCAGGCCUCAGUUUCCCAAGAAAUCAGCUGUGCCAUCAAAGACAGUGCCUGCAAUCUGCGCAGCUCCUCCCAGGACAGAGAUAUGUGCUGAGCAAUUGAUUGUUAAAUGUGGACCAGAAAGCAGAUCUGCUGGAGCCAACAGCAAGCAGGGUGGUUUCUGAGAAAGGCCUCACCUCGCUUUCGAAGGUUGAGGUUGGAGAGGGUGGGGUGUAUCAGGAUUGAAUCUACUCAUGGGAAAAUAGCCUCUCUGAAUGUGCCCACUGGAUUCCUGCCCUGACCCUGUCCUGGGGCACUGUGGCUUCACUGGGAACAGAAUGCUCUCUGUACAUGGAGAAUGGUAGAGGCUGGCACUGUCUAAUCUGAGCUCCUGGAUCACCCUGUUCUCGCCCAGAGAGAAGCUGGCUCCAUCUGGGGAUGAGUGAGGGCAGACGUGUCUGGUGGGACAGAGCCUGGGCCACAGCCUUGCACCUGCAGAACCCAUUGUACAAACACACAGUGCAUGGAAGAGGAACCUGCAGCCCAGCACAAAGCUGCUCAAACAGAAACCAAACCAAAAGCUAACCUCAGCCAAUUCAGAGGCAGGUCCACAUCUGAACCAAGAGCUCUCCCAGCAAAUUGGCCUGGAAAGCCCUUCUCACAUCAAGGCAGGAAGAUAAUAAUGACCCUCAUCUUUCAAAAGAGGAAGCUGAGACACUGAGAGGGUAGGUCCCCUGAAGGUCAUACAGCUCUUAAAUGCUGGGGCCAGGAUUCCAACGCAGGCAGGGAGGCCCGGAUCUGAGCUCACAGUGACCACACCCCAGCCUCUGUGAACUGAAUUUACGCAAUGUCUGGGAAGAAAAGGCAGGGUCCACUCCGCUCAGAGCCAUGCAGGGCAGUGUGCUCCCGUCUCCCCGGCAUUUGAAUCACUCUUGUGGUGUGUGUCCAGCACAGAUGCACGGGACCCCUCAGGCCCAUAUCCUCAAACAGGUAGUGGUGGGGCACCAGUGCACGAACACUAGGGCUCAGCAGUCAGCCUGGGCGGGUCACAGUUCCGAUACCCUCCAGGCUGUCUGGGAGGCGGCCUGGCUGUGGGACCAGUUCUCAUGUGAAGCAAUGAAGCCACUCUGAGCUUGGCCCCCUGCCCUGGCAUGGGCACUGGGCUGCCUGUGUGAAACUCUUGUUUCUCCAGGUGCAAGACAAACCUGGCACUCUUUCUGGCUUCUCCAUUCACUUGCCGGGGGCAGGUGGCCAAGCCUGGUUUCAUCUCCUUGGGGGGGAAUGGAAUACUCUCCACAUUCAACCCAAAAACAGCCCCAGCAAAGGGCUGACAUGGGAGGGAGAGGGGCAGGGUGGCGCCACGCACCCACGGGCACCCAAUGCUUUGACGCCGAGACCCAAGCAUCUCUCUCAGACAUCCCUUCUCAUACCAGAAACAGAGCCCACGUAUACCAGUCAGACCUGCAGUCAGGCCCAUUCACGAGUCAGGCCCAUUCACCAGUCAGAAACCACACAGCCACUUAUUUGAACAGGGGAAGUUUAAUAUAAAGAUGAACUCUACUCGGAGCAUAGAGUUUAAAAAGAGUUCUAC
This 2378-nucleotide long non-coding RNA is filed under the name Homo sapiens (human). Its description in RNAcentral is "HSALNT0177836". Lineage: Eukaryota; Metazoa; Chordata; Mammalia; Primates; Hominidae. The record is from RNAcentral.